This 738-nucleotide ribosomal RNA is filed under the name uncultured archaeon. Its description in RNAcentral is "bacterial SSU rRNA". It matches the Rfam family "Archaeal small subunit ribosomal RNA", at positions 20 to 737 of the family's 1478-position model. The record is from RNAcentral.
GAGGCCAUUGCUAUUGGGAUCCGAUUUAGCCAUGCUAGUCGUACGAGUUUAGACUCGUGGCGAAUAGCUCAGUAACACGUGGCCAAACUACCCUUCGGACCGCAAUACCCUCGGGAAACUGAGGCUAAUAGCGGACACCACACGCAGACUGGAAUGUCGCGUGUGUCAAACGCUCCGGCGCCGAAGGAUGUGGCUGCGGCCGAUUAGGUAGACGGUGGGGUAACGGCCCACCGUGCCAAUAAUCGGUACGGGUCAUGAGAGUGAGAACCCGGAGACGGAAUCUGAGACAAGAUUCCGGGCCCUACGGGGCGCAGCAGGUGCGAAACCUUUACACUGCACGCCAGUGCGAUAAGGGAAUCCCAAGUGCGCAGGCAUAGAGCCUGCGCUUUUGUUCACCGUAGGGAGGUGAACGAAUAAGGGCUGGGCAAGACCGGUGCUAGCCGCCGCGGUAAUACCGGCAGCCCGAGUGAUGGCCGAUCUUAUUGGGCCUAAAGCGUCCGUAGCUGACCGCGCAAGUCUAUCGGAAAAUCCACCCGCCCAACGGGUGGGCGUCCGGUAGAAACUGCGUGGCUUGGGACCGGAAGGCGCGACGGGUACCGUCCGGGGGUAGGGAGUGAAAAUCCCGUAAUCCUGGGAACGGGACCGCCCGAAUGGCGAAAAGCACGUCGCGAGGGACGGGAUCCCGAACAGUGAGGGGACGAAAAAGCCAGGGGUCUCGGAACCCGGGAUUUAGAAUAC